CUCAUACUAUCACUCGUGUCCUUGUCUCCUUCGUGAUCUUCUUUUUGGCUGGCCAUUUUUUUUUUCUUUGACUCGCUCGUCUUGUGCCGUCGUGGCCGGAGUAUACCGUGUAGUUUCGGUGGCGGAUAUAUGCAUACUUUGGGCUUCUUCCGGGCACCCUCCUUUUAGAGAUAUGGUUUAAAGUGGCUGUGGGAUUUCAAUGGAUGCUGACUGUUUUUCAUAUGAUAGUUACACAUAAGCUUCUGAUUAGAAAGUGACUGACUUGUGUUGGAUUAGUUACUGGAAGUUUUUUUCUUCAUGUUUUUUCUAAUCAUAAUUUUCUUUAGUUGAUGAGCACCUUUUCUUCAAUUAGAACAACAUAGUGUUGUUGAAUCCUCAAGUGAAUUCCAGUUACCUAGAAAACUGAAUCUCAUUUAAAUGUCUGUAUAAUGUAGUUCUGUCAAAUUGGAAACUUUCUUUCGAUAGUAUUGAUUCUAAAGUCAAACCAUUGUGCUAAUAACUUACAGUCUAUGAACAAAUGACUGAAUAACUUGAGUGCCACGGGUAUUAACUGGAUAAGAAUAAUAUUAUGCGCACUAAAACAUGCAAUUUUCAGCGAUAUUCAUCAAGAACAACAACUUAUGUGUCUGCCUUAAUCCUCUCAAUGUGAGCUGCUGUCAGGUUAAUCCUCAAACUUCAUCACCACUCCAGUUGUUCCCACUCUGGAACUCCAACUCGGAAGCAUUGACCCAAGUUCCACUGCUGUGCUGUGAGAAAUAGACCUCCCACAGCUCACCAGUGAAAUUGCCGAUUGGGAUCCGGAAGUAAUUAUUGCUUUUAAAUCUUGCAUGGAAGCUUUUGUUUAAACCAUUUAUGCACUGGUCGCAAUUUUCCAAUGAAAGUGGGGCUUCCUGUUUCUUUGAUACAGGAUAUGUGUUCCAAGGAUAUGCAAACUUGUGACAGCUAUAGCCUCAUUUUCCCUCGUAGAAGUAUGAAAAAGACGGAAGGCCCAAGUGGUGAAGCUCAAAUUUUGUGUAGACAUUGUGCCAAGUUACUGAAAUCCAAACAAUACUGCGGAAUAUGCAAGAAAAUUUGGCAUCAUUCCGACGAUGCAGAUUGGGUAUGUUGCGAUGGUUGCAAUGUAUGGGUGCAUGCUGAGUGUGCCAAUAUCUCCAGCUGACUUUUAAAGGAGCUACGGCACUCUGAAUACUACUGCCCAGAUUGGAGGCCAAGACCACUUGCAAAACGCCAAACUUACAGAAAUUGGAGCCAAAAGAGAAGUUGGUGGAAAACAAGCAAGCUCCUUUGCCUGACAAGGUUUCUGUGGUGUGCAAUGGCAUGGAAGGGUCAUAUAUUCCAAAACUUCAUCUAAUUGUGUGCAAGUGUGGCUCAUGUGGUUUAAAGAUGCAGACACCUAGUGAAGGGGAACGGCACACAGGUUGCAGAGCCAAAAAGUGGAAGUACAGUGU
Long non-coding RNA from Eucalyptus grandis, 1448 nucleotides. RefSeq lists it as uncharacterized. Lineage: Eukaryota; Viridiplantae; Streptophyta; Magnoliopsida; Myrtales; Myrtaceae. The record is from RefSeq and is a predicted model, not a curated record. The transcript has 6 exons.